AUUGAACGCUGGCGGCAGGCUUAACACAUGCAAGUCGAGCGGGGGAAGGUAGCUUGCUACCGGACCUAGCGGCGGACGGGUGAGUAAUGCUUAGGAAUCUGCCUAUUAGUGGGACAACGUUUCGAAAGGAACGCUAAUACCGCAUACGUCCUACGGGAGAAAGCAGGGGGCCUUCGGGCCUUGCGCUAAUAGAUGAGCCUAGGUCGGAUUAGCUUGUUGGUGAGGUAAUGGCUCACCAAGGCGACGAUCCGUAACUGGUCUGAGAGGAUGAUCAGUCACACUGGAACUGAGACACGGUCCAGACUCCUACGGGAGGCAGCAGUGGGGAAUAUUGGACAAUGGGCGAAAGCCUGAUCCAGCCAUGCCGCGUGUGUGAAGAAGGUCUUCGGAUUGUAAAGCACUUUAAGUUGGGAGGAAGGGUUGUAGAUUAAUACUCUGCAAUUUUGACGUUACCGACAGAAUGAGCACCGGCUAACUCUGUGCCAGCAGCCGCCGUAA
RNAcentral lists this ribosomal RNA (498 nucleotides) under uncultured bacterium. RNAcentral describes it as "partial 16S ribosomal RNA". It matches the Rfam family "Bacterial small subunit ribosomal RNA", at positions 30 to 523 of the family's 1533-position model. The record is from RNAcentral.